RNAcentral lists this unclassified non-coding RNA (383 nucleotides) under uncultured bacterium. Its description in RNAcentral is "contains 16S-23S intergenic spacer region". The record is from RNAcentral.
UCCUAGUUUCCUAGGCAGUCCCGUUAGAGUGCUUCUAUUUCUAGCUAGCAACUAACAGCAAGGGUUGCGCUCGUUCAAGGACUUAACCCGACGUCUCACGACACGAGCUGACGACAGCCAUGCAGCACCUGUGUAACCGUCCGUAUUGCUACGGAACCCAAUGUUUCCACCAGUAGCGAUUACAUGUCAAACCCAGGUAAGGUUCCUCGCGUAGUGUCGAAUUAAACCACAUGUUCCACCGCUUGUGCGGACCCCCGUCAAUUCCUUUGAGUUUUAAUCUUGCGACCGUACUCCCCAGGUGGAUCACUUAUCGCGUUAGCUACGACACAGAAUCUGCUAUGCAAAUCCCACAUCUAGUGAUCAUCGUUUACGGCGUGGACUAC